This 701-nucleotide ribosomal RNA is filed under the name Brevibacterium sp. RNAcentral's name for it is "bacterial SSU rRNA". It matches the Rfam family "Bacterial small subunit ribosomal RNA", at positions 98 to 813 of the family's 1533-position model. The record is from RNAcentral. Lineage: Bacteria; Bacillati; Actinomycetota; Actinomycetes; Micrococcales; Brevibacteriaceae.
GCGAACGGGUGAGUAACACGUGAGUAACCUGCCCCUGACUUCGGGAUAAGCCCGGGAAACUGGGUCUAAUACCGGAUACGACUGCCGGACGCAUGUCUGGUGGUGGAAAGUUUUUUCGGUUGGGGAUGGGCUCGCGGCCUAUCAGUUUGUUGGUGAGGUAAUGGCUCACCAAGACGACGACGGGUAGCCGGCCUGAGAGGGCGACCGGCCACACUGGGACUGAGACACGGCCCAGACUCCUACGGGAGGCAGCAGUGGGGAAUAUUGCACAAUGGGGGAAACCCUGAUGCAGCGACGCAGCGUGCGGGAUGACGGCCUUCGGGUUGUAAACCGCUUUCAGCAGGGAAGAAGCGCAAGUGACGGUACCUGCAGAAGAAGUACCGGCUAACUACGUGCCAGCAGCCGCGGUAAUACGUAGGGUACGAGCGUUGUCCGGAAUUAUUGGGCGUAAAGAGCUCGUAGGUGGUUGGUCACGUCUGCUGUGGAAACGCAACGCUUAACGUUGCGCGUGCAGUGGGUACGGGCUGACUAGAGUGCAGUAGGGGAGUCUGGAAUUCCUGGUGUAGCGGUGAAAUGCGCAGAUAUCAGGAGGAACACCGGUGGCGAAGGCGGGACUCUGGGCUGUAACUGACACUGAGGAGCGAAAGCAUGGGGAGCGAACAGGAUUAGAUACCCUGGUAGUCCAUGCCGUAAACGUUGGG